This 544-nucleotide long non-coding RNA is filed under the name Lonchura striata (white-rumped munia). Its description in RNAcentral is "domestica (Bengalese finch) lncRNA (ENSLSDG00000013181.1)". Lineage: Eukaryota; Metazoa; Chordata; Aves; Passeriformes; Estrildidae. The record is from RNAcentral.
GUUUUUCAAUACAGAGUUCACACUGGUUUCAUACGUGAUGAGGAGACAAGCAAACAGUGGAGAACAGCAGUAGAUACAAUGCAGAUAAGCAAGAAAGAAAAAUUAAGGACGAAAAGAUGGAGCUGUUUCUAAAAAAUCAGAUGGCACACUUGGAAAUAAUACCAUAAAGGCUCAUUAUUUUAAACAACUAUUGAUUACAUCUUGGGGAUUUUCACCAAUUCCACUUGAUGCUGCUUUUAAAAUGUUCUUUGGCCUGUUAAUGAUUAAAGAUUUGGAUUUCCCUCUUUACACUAAAUACUUUUAUGGAGUCUACUUGAGCGCUGAUCUUUGCAUGGAAAUAACAGAAAAUUCCAAGAAAUGGAAGCCGCUGCUAGUAAAAGAAGAAAAGCCGAGUAUCGUCAGGGUUAAUAGCUCCUAUUUGAGAUCCAUGAAUGAUUACAAAGUUACUUUUCUAUAUCGAACUUUCAAGUCUCAUUAAUAAUAUGCUGCCUCUCCAGGACACAGGUGCACUCACGGUACAAAGGCUAUCGGUUCAUCACAUGGA